This 1727-nucleotide long non-coding RNA is filed under the name Homo sapiens (human). RNAcentral describes it as "HSALNT0340677". The record is from RNAcentral. Lineage: Eukaryota; Metazoa; Chordata; Mammalia; Primates; Hominidae.
AGAAAAGCUUAGACAUUCAUAGGAAUAAGACCUCCAGCUAUUUAUGGGUUGAUUACAAGCUCAGUAUGAUUCAAUUGAUGAUUAGAUAGUAGACAUCACCUGUUACGAUUGGAGCCCUGUGGCCAAGAGGACGCCUGUGAACUAUUUCACCUGAUUAGGCCACGCUGGGAUUUUUUGCUUGGGUGAGAGGUCGUGCUUCCCCAGGACACGGGCAGCAGCCUGGAGAGAGGAGUCUCAGAGGGUAACCCUGCUCUUCUCAAAUAUGGAAAGCUCCUAUGUGGAAGGGCAGUGAGUGGGAUUUAUCUUUUUCUGGGGAUUCCAGAUGGCAGAAAAUUAGGCCCACACUGCUGAGCGGGAUUUGAGUGUGAGAAUCCAAGUACAGAAGCUGAAUUUGGGAAAAUAGUCUUGCUAAAGAAAGUGGCAGAUUUUCCCAAUUCCACAUUUUGGAAGUAUCAAGAGCUGUUUCAUGAGAUAAGCUGGCGAGAGGAAAUAGACUACUCUGGUAGGAAACUAGAGCAGGUGGGCAGGAGUGACUUUCCUCUUCUCUUCCUGUUCCUCACACCCACCAGACCCGAGGUCCCCUGCCCGUCUGUUCUCUGCAGCCCCCACUGAAGCCUCAAAGUCCUUGCAAACGUUGCAAUAUCCUGCCUUCCUUCUUCCUUCCUAAAGGCUCCAGCUUUUCUGGGCCAUACCUUUCCAUCUCCGCUACCCCAUCCCCACCUCCUUUAUAAGGCUGUUCCACUCAGGGCUGCUGUUGGCCUUUCUUAGUUACCCCAGGGCCAGGUGACAGACAAAAGCCCCAGUCAAUACUCCAGACCCUGCUGAAAUUACUCAAACUAGCUCAUCCUAAGCCCCUUGUGGUAUGUCAUGCCUCCUGCUUCCAGGGAACUGUGAGCUUAAACUUCUUCCAUUAUGACAGUCAUUUCUGUGUCUGUGUCUGUUGUAAACAAAUCCUGGGUAUAAUUAAAAUACCAUGCAUCAAACUCCAAGAAAAACCAGGAUUCAUCCUCUUCUGUGCUUUUACUGAGCACUGGUCAGAUCCUACUUUGCACUUAGUUGGUAUGAUCUAAGCUUCUCUAUCUAUUUCUCCUGCUAAUCUGCCUGCAAGCCCCUCACCAGAGGUGAUACCGUUUUAUACACCUCACUCUUAACAUACUGUCAGCACAAGUGGACGUUUGAUAAGUGUUUACUGAAUCUGAAAUGAGAUUUAUGUUGGAGGAGGUGCUCACAAAUUUAUUUCACCUCUGAUCAUUAUAUCAUUCCCUGUUUGUAGUAACAACUUAACUAAAUUAUUACGAAGAGGUUAAGUAUUUGUUGGGCACCUACUGUAUCCCAGGACCUCAAAUUUCCUUUACACUAAAGAAAUAAAACUAUGAUUUGCUUCCAAGUAUUGUCCUAUCAGGCCCUCAAUCCUCCAAAACGGGAAUAAGAUCCAACCUAUUUCUGUGUUUGAGAAUUCAUCCUGACCCAUGUAAACAGUCUGCAGUGAUUCCCAGCAGAAACUAGAAUAUGAGUGUAGAACACGAUCUUUUAUUUAUUUCAUAUGUAACAUCUGAAAAGUUAAUUUUUUUCCCUGCAAACAAUGCCCAGCAGCAGAAUGAAGUUUGAGAUCAUCCCAAAAGAUGUAUGUCUGCACCACAUUUUUCUUGACAGGAGAAAAAGUGACAAGAGCUAAUUAAAGGAAAACAGAAUGUUCUUUUUUGAUGGCCCAACAGACAAUUCUUUUC